GAGUUUGAUCCUGGCUCAGAACGAACGNUGGCGGCAGGCCUAACACAUGCAAGUCGAGCGAGAUUUUCGGAUCCUAGCGGCGGACGGGUGAGUAACGCGUGGGAACGUGCCCUUUUNUACGGAAUAGCCUCGGGAAACUGGGAGUAAUACCGUAUACGCCCUUUGGGGGAAAGAUUUAUCGGAGAAGGAUCGGCCCGCGUUGGAUUAGGUAGUUGGUGGGGUAAUGGCCUACCAAGCCGACGAUCCAUAGCUGGUUUGAGAGGAUGAUCAGCCACACUGGGACUGAGACACGGCCCAGACUCCUACGGGAGGCAGCAGA
RNAcentral lists this ribosomal RNA (319 nucleotides) under uncultured Paracoccus sp. FR062. Its description in RNAcentral is "bacterial SSU rRNA". It matches the Rfam family "Bacterial small subunit ribosomal RNA", at positions 9 to 355 of the family's 1533-position model. Lineage: Bacteria; Pseudomonadati; Pseudomonadota; Alphaproteobacteria; Rhodobacterales; Paracoccaceae. The record is from RNAcentral.